Molecule: ribosomal RNA, 1070 nt
Filed under: Leuconostoc mesenteroides
Lineage: Bacteria; Bacillati; Bacillota; Bacilli; Lactobacillales; Lactobacillaceae
Description: bacterial SSU rRNA
Rfam family: Bacterial small subunit ribosomal RNA
Source: RNAcentral
AUGAAGCUUUCGGGUCGUAAAGCACUGUUGUAUGGGAAGAACAAGCUAGAAUAGGAAAUGAUUUUAGUUUGACGUACCAUACCAGAAAGGGACGGCUAAAUACGUGCCAGCAGCCGCGGUAAUACGUAUGUCCCGAGCGUUAUCCGGAUUUAUUGGGCGUAAAGCGAGCGCAGACGGUUUAUUAAGUCUGAUGUGAAAGCCCGGAGCUCAACUCCGGAAUGGCAUUGGAAACUGGUUAACUUGAGUGCAGUAGAGGUAAGUGGAACUCCAUGUGUAGCGGUGGAAUGCGUAGAUAUAUGGAAGAACACCAGUGGCGAAGGCGGCUUACUGGACUGCAACUGACGUUGAGGCUCGAAAGUGUGGGUAGCAAACAGGAUUAGAUACCCUGGUAGUCCACACCGUAAACGAUGAACACUAGGUGUUAGGAGGUUUCCGCCUCUUAGUGCCGAAGCUAACGCAUUAAGUGUUCCGCCUGGGGAGUACGACCGCAAGGUUGAAACUCAAAGGAAUUGACGGGGACCCGCACAAGCGGUGGAGCAUGUGGUUUAAUUCGAAGCAACGCGAAGAACCUUACCAGGUCUUGACAUCCUUUGAAGCUUUUAGAGAUAGAAGUGUUCUCUUCGGAGACAAAGUGACAGGUGGUGCAUGGUCGUCGUCAGCUCGUGUCGUGAGAUGUUGGGUUAAGUCCCGCAACGAGCGCAACCCUUAUUGUUAGUUGCCAGCAUUCAGAUGGGCACUCUAGCGAGACUGCCGGUGACAAACCGGAGGAAGGCGGGGACGACGUCAGAUCAUCAUGCCCCUUAUGACCUGGGCUACACACGUGCUACAAUGGCGUAUACAACGAGUUGCCAACCCGCGAGGGUGAGCUAAUCUCUUAAAGUACGUCUCAGUUCGGAUUGUAGUCUGCAACUCGACUACAUGAAGUCGGAAUCGCUAGUAAUCGCGGAUCAGCACGCCGCGGUGAAUACGUUCCCGGGUCUUGUACACACCGCCCGUCACACCAUGGGAGUUUGUAAUGCCCAAAGCCGGUGGCCUAACCUUUUAGGAAGGAGCCGUCUAAGGCAGAACAG